GACGAACGCUGGCGGCGUGCUUAACACAUGCAAGUCGAACGGAAAGGCCCUGCUUUUGUGGGGUGCUCGAGUGGCGAACGGGUGAGUAACACGUGAGUAACCUGCCCUUGACUUUGGGAUAACUUCAGGAAACUGGGGCUAAUACCGGAUAGGAGCUCCUGCUGCAUGGUGGGGGUUGGAAAGUUUCGGCGGUGGGGGAUGGACUCGCGGCUUAUCAGCUUGUUGGUGGGGUAGUGGCUUACCAAGGCUUUGACGGGUAGCCGGCCUGAGAGGGUGACCGGCCACAUUGGGACUGAGAUACGGCCCAGACUCCUACGGGAGGCAGCAGUGGGGAAUAUUGCACAAUGGGAGGAAGCCUGAUGCAGCAACGCCGCGUGCGGGAUGACGGCCUUCGGGUUGUAAACCGCUUUCGCCUGUGACGAAGCGUGAGUGACGGUAAUGGGUAAAGAAGCACCGGCUAACUACGUG
This 468-nucleotide ribosomal RNA is filed under the name uncultured bacterium. RNAcentral describes it as "partial 16S ribosomal RNA". It matches the Rfam family "Bacterial small subunit ribosomal RNA", at positions 28 to 507 of the family's 1533-position model. The record is from RNAcentral.